ACAAAGAAAAGUAUUCGGUUACGCAGGGUAAAUUUUACGGAACGAAAACCUAUGUUUUAUAAUAACUUCACAAUAAAUAGUCAAAAGAAGAUGUGGUAUGAAUAUUGCCAAUGAGACAACUCUUCACAAGAGACCAAAUGAUGGAAAUUAACAACUUUAGGUCACGGUACAGCUUUCAACAAUGAGCAAAGCCCAUACCACAUAGUCGGCUAUAAACAUAAUAAAAGGCCACGAAAUGACAAAAUUAAUGUAAAACAACUCAAAUGAGAAAACUAAUUGCCUAAUUUAUGUACAAAAAAAUUAACGAAAAACAAAUAUAUGUAACACAGCAACAAACGACAACCACUGAAAUACAGGCUCCUGACUUGGAACAGACACUUACAUACAGAACCCUAACCCUAAGGGGGUGGGGGGUUAAACAUGUUAGCGGGAUCCCAACCCUACCCCUAACCUAGGACAGUGUAGCCUAGUCAAUUUAGCUCUAAAAUCACUCAACCUCCAACUAAUUGCAAC
This 513-nucleotide long non-coding RNA is filed under the name Mytilus galloprovincialis (Mediterranean mussel). Lineage: Eukaryota; Metazoa; Mollusca; Bivalvia; Mytilida; Mytilidae. The record is from RNAcentral.